RNAcentral lists this transfer RNA (83 nucleotides) under Hildenbrandia rubra. Its description in RNAcentral is "tRNA-Ser". It matches the Rfam family "tRNA". Rfam says of the family: Transfer RNA (tRNA) molecules are approximately 80 nucleotides in length. Their secondary structure includes four short double-helical elements and three loops (D, anti-codon, and T loops). The record is from RNAcentral. Lineage: Eukaryota; Rhodophyta; Florideophyceae; Hildenbrandiales; Hildenbrandiaceae.
GGAUAGAUGGCUGAGUGGUUAAAGGCACCAAUUUUGAAAAUUGGCAUGAAUGUUCAUCGCAGGUUCGAAUCCUGCUCUGUCUA